CCCUUAGAUGUUCUGGGCAGCACGCGCGCUACAAUGGUCUUCGCAAACGGAUGCAUUCUCGAAGGAGAAUGCCAAUCUUGGAAUCUAUGCCUUGGUCGGGACAGUUGCUUGCAAUUUUUCGACUCGAACCAGGAAUUCCUUGUAAUCGUGAUUCAUCACAUCACGAUGAAUACGUCCCUGCCCUCUGUACACACCGCCCGUCGCUCCUACCGAUCGAAGAGUUAGGUGAAUUGUUUUGAUCGAUAAGAUUUGACUAUGGUCAACUCUCGUUGUGAAAUUCUGUGAAUCUGACUGUUUAGAGGAAGGAAAAGUCGUAACA
RNAcentral lists this ribosomal RNA (319 nucleotides) under uncultured eukaryote. Its description in RNAcentral is "partial 18S ribosomal RNA". It matches the Rfam family "Eukaryotic small subunit ribosomal RNA", at positions 1470 to 1796 of the family's 1831-position model. The record is from RNAcentral.